AGCGAACGCUGGCGGCAGGCCUAACACAUGCAAGUCGAACGGAUCCUUCGGGAUUAGUGGCGGACGGGUGAGUAACACGUGGGAACGUGCCUUUUGGUUCGGAACAACUCAGGGAAACUUGAGCUAAUACCGAAUGUGCCCUUCGGGGGAAGGAUUAUCGCCAUUAGAGCGGCCCGCGUCUGAUUAGCUUGUUGGUGAGGUAAAGGCUCACCAAGGCUACGAUCAGUAGCUGGUCUGAGAGGAUGAUCAGCCACAUUGGGACUGAGACACGGCCCAAACUCCUACGGGAGGCAGCAGUGGGGAAUCUUGCGCAAUGGGCGAAAGCCUGACGCAGCCAUGCCGCGUGAAUGAUGAAGGUCUUAGGAUUGUAAAAUUCUUUCACCGGGGACGAUAAUGACGGUACCCGGAGAAGAAGCCCCGGCUAACUUCGUG
This 432-nucleotide ribosomal RNA is filed under the name uncultured bacterium. Its description in RNAcentral is "bacterial SSU rRNA". It matches the Rfam family "Bacterial small subunit ribosomal RNA", at positions 29 to 507 of the family's 1533-position model. The record is from RNAcentral.